GUGAGUCAUCGAAUCUUUGAACGCACAUUGCACUGCCUGGAAUUCCGGGCAGUAUACCUGUUUGAGUAUCAGUAACACUCUACCUGGGUGUCCUUUCACGAGGCCCUUGGUAGGACUUGAGCGACCGUUCUCGCAAGGGAGCGCCGCUUUAAAUGCAUUUGAGUUGAUCCAGGCCAAAACUUGGAGAAUACCGACAGAGUUAAUGGGUCUCACGACCUUGAUCUGAAGGGAAUCCCCAAGCCAGUCAACCUGUGAUGGCUCACGAAACACACCAUACGGGUGGGCUCUUCACUGAACCCA
Molecule: unclassified non-coding RNA, 300 nt
Filed under: uncultured fungus
Lineage: Eukaryota; Fungi
Description: sequence contains 5.8S rRNA gene, ITS2
Rfam family: 5.8S ribosomal RNA (bases 1-71)
Source: RNAcentral